AUCCUCAGAAGUUUUUGAACACACUCUCGUUUUUUCUUCUUCUUCUUCCAAAUUCACCAUAAAAAAUUAAACACAAUCGUCUCAAUCGCCUUUUUUCCACAAACGAUCUUUCAACCACACUCUCGAACCACUUUUGAAGAAAAAUGUCUGUAUGAUCACUUAACUUCUGUUUUCUCCCAAAUCUCCCGAAGAUCAUAUAUUAGGGGGGUUUUAAACAAAGAUUCUGACCCAUCAAAGUUGAACUUGGGUGUAGGUGCAAGUCCCCACCUUUUAGAAAUAGCAGGUAUGCUCUCUAUGGUUUGUUAUAAAGCAAAUCGGAAUGUUCACAUUUACGGGGCUGAAUGCUGACCAAGUUGCUUUCAUGACUAAAGAAUAUCACAUCUACAUGACUUCAGAUGGAUGCCAUGCAUGCUGCUGUAACCGAUAUGCCGUAAACCAGUAUCUUGUUAAAAGUUCAAACAGUUUUCAUUUCAGGUUUCCUUGUAAGCGCGGCAUGUUUAUAUUCGACUUAUAUUUAGAAAACUAUGUACAAUA
Long non-coding RNA from Helianthus annuus (common sunflower), 534 nucleotides. RefSeq lists it as uncharacterized. The record is from RefSeq and is a predicted model, not a curated record. The transcript is spliced from 4 exons. NCBI's taxonomy places the organism in Eukaryota, Viridiplantae, Streptophyta, Magnoliopsida, Asterales, Asteraceae.